CAAUUUGCCAGGCCGUUGGGAGUGAAAAUCAAACUACUGUUAUGUUUUAGAAGUGGCCACUACGUAUGUCCAUCCCAGAAGUUGGAUCUCAUCGGAGUGUUUGGUUAAACUUCCGUAUAGCUGGCUCCGAGGACAAUCUGGUGAUUCUGUCGGAAAUCAAAACUCAGCUGGCAGAUUAAAACACACCAUCGCAGACAUGGAUCUGCAGUUUUGGCGACAUCCAGACCUCGGAUCUGAUGUCUGGAUUCUCCCCUCUGCAUCAUUGGCCGCGACAUCGUCUAAAAAUAUUCAAAAACCGGGUUACUCGGACAGAUUGACAAUGAAAAGCAAAGUGCGCUACCGAAGGAUCAACAGCCGCCUCCGUGGUGAAUUUGAAAGUGAUGUGACCAGCAUUAAAGCAGAAAAUUACUUGUAAUGAUAAGUGAAACAAAUUUUGUUCGAAAUUAAAUUUUAUUUUGCUUAAAUGUAUUCAACAAUAAAAUUCCGACAAAAUUCUA
Molecule: long non-coding RNA, 497 nt
Organism: Culex quinquefasciatus (southern house mosquito)
Lineage: Eukaryota; Metazoa; Arthropoda; Insecta; Diptera; Culicidae
Exons: 2
Source: RefSeq, a predicted model, not a curated record